CCCCCAGACCCGGUAAUCUCCUUUUUACCCAGGAGUGAAGCCUGCCGCCAUAUUCUGCCCACAGACUGCUUUAUACCUCGGGGUGCACUCCAGGACCUUACUUCACGUGAGUAAGCUCCUCUAUCCAUUAAACCACCAAUGUCUCUGUUGCUGACCCUGGGCUCUCUCUUAGGUCUUGAAGCUGAGCAAGUAUGGGCCUUGUAGGCCUGUGGGGUGCAACCCAACACCACCACGGAGGAGAAAUAUGGGUCGUUACAAUAGGGGAGUCAGAGCACGGAGAGGUAAAUUUUGAGAGAGCAGAUGUGGCAAUCUGGAGCGUUGUAAUGUCCCAGGGGGCUCUGCAGGCCCAGGGGACAGGGUGAAGCAGGAGAGGGUACCGAUUGUGUGAUUCCCCUGGCACAUUUGCCUCUGGUUCUUCUGUUUGCUGUUUUGUCACAAAAUAACUUUCAAACUCUAGGUUAACAACAGCAGCAUUUGUGUCUUAGGUCUGGUUUGGAGGGAGUAAAGGGUUUCCCAGGUGGCCCAGGGAUAAAGAAUCUGCCUGCUGAUAAAGGAGAUGCAAGAGAUGUGGGUUUGAUCCCUGGGUUGGGAAGAUCCCCUUGAGAAGGAAAUUGCAACCCACUCCAGUAUUCUUGCCCAGAGAAUCCCGUGGACAGAGGAGCCUGGCGGGCUACAGUCCAUGAGGUUACAGAGUCAGACAGGACUGAGCAGGCAUGUUGUCGUUGUCAUUGGAGGGAACAAGCCUUUAUCAUCAGUGGUUCUGCUGCCCCUCAUCCAGCAUAUCCUUAAUGAUUCUCUCCUUUCUAUUCCUCUCCCAGUGGUAUGGAGAAGACAGUGUGCCUGUCUUCUCCAGACAGCAAAGGAACAAGACUAUUUUUGAAUCAUUCACUGCUAUGAAAGUAGUUCAGCAGAAGGACUGGUUGCUUUUAGGAUCCCCGUGUCCAGCACACCCCUCUUAUUUUUACAUGAACAUCUGCAUCUCUCCAGACUUGAGGAUGACUGUUCUGUGACUUUAGUUCUCCAAUGGCUUCACAAAAAGUCAUUAAUUUGCUGUCUGUCCAGCUUACUUCUUGUUGCAGAUAUGAAUGCUGCAGCUCUGAGAUCACAAGUAAGUGAUUUCAAGUAAUUGAAUUACUGAAGCAAUGUAGGUAAACUGAAUGAAGAUAACAAAGAAAACGUGGAAGAACUCUAAAGGACACAAGUUAAAAAAGCAUGUGAAAAUGAGAGGCUUAUUCUCUGAGAGGAAGAUUUUAACUUAGCUGAGCUUCCGGUGGCUGCAGACAUUCCUCAGCUUGUGGCUACGUCACUCCAGUCUUCAAGGAAGACUCCAAAAUUCAUUCUACAUAAACAAGGAAGAAACUGAACAAAGCACAUCACAGCUCAAAUGGUAUACAUUAUUCAGUUCUGAAAGUCUAUAAUUAAACUUUGAUGUCUCUUAACUUACGGGAAGAAUAUUUUGAUGGAUCUAUGAUUUUAAUUGAAUAAAUAUACUUUAUGGAAUGAAAUGAAA
Bos taurus (domestic cattle) is the source of this 1510-nucleotide long non-coding RNA. Lineage: Eukaryota; Metazoa; Chordata; Mammalia; Artiodactyla; Bovidae. The record is from Ensembl.